AAAUGACAAAGACUCAUUUAGAAUUAGAGUCAACCUAUAAUGACCAUUGCAAGUGUUAUUCUCAUGGAUGUACAAACAUCUGGAAUCCAUAAAACAAGCACAAUGUCUUAUUCAUAUUAAUGCCAAUCUAUGAACAAAUUCUAAUUUUUAGUAUGUCUAUUGUUCUUGAAAAUGAAAGAUAAAAUGAAUAAUAGUAAGUUAUAGGCAGCCAAACUUACUAAAAUGUGGUACUCUCGCUCGAUUAUUUUUUUG
RNAcentral lists this long non-coding RNA (252 nucleotides) under Lathyrus oleraceus (garden pea). Its description in RNAcentral is "Pisum sativum (pea) long non-coding RNA (PSAT_LNC025762)". The record is from RNAcentral. Lineage: Eukaryota; Viridiplantae; Streptophyta; Magnoliopsida; Fabales; Fabaceae.